GCCCGCCUAGCUCAAUCGGAUAGAGCGUCAGACUCUUACGAGUCAUCGGGUGAUCUGAAGGCUGCGAGUUCGACCCUCGCGGUGGGCU
This 88-nucleotide transfer RNA is filed under the name Rickenella mellea. It matches the Rfam family "tRNA". From Rfam's summary of the family: Transfer RNA (tRNA) molecules are approximately 80 nucleotides in length. Their secondary structure includes four short double-helical elements and three loops (D, anti-codon, and T loops). Further hydrogen bonds mediate the characteristic L-shaped molecular structure. tRNAs have two regions of fundamental functional importance: the anti-codon, which is responsible for specific mRNA codon recognition, and the 3' end, to which the tRNAs corresponding amino acid is attached (by aminoacyl-tRNA synthetases). tRNAs cope with the degeneracy of the genetic code in two manners: having more than one tRNA (with a specific anti-codon) for a particular amino acid; and 'wobble' base-pairing, i.e. permitting non-standard base-pairing at the 3rd anti-codon position. The record is from Rfam by way of RNAcentral. Lineage: Eukaryota; Fungi; Basidiomycota; Agaricomycetes; Hymenochaetales; Rickenellaceae.